Molecule: ribosomal RNA, 381 nt
Filed under: uncultured bacterium
Lineage: Bacteria
Description: bacterial SSU rRNA
Rfam family: Bacterial small subunit ribosomal RNA
Source: RNAcentral
AUUGAACGCUGGCGGCAGGCCUAACACAUGCAAGUCGAGCGGGGGUUUUCGGACCUAGCGGCGGACGGGUGAGUAAUGCGUAGGAAGCUACCCGAUAGAGGGGGAUACCAGUUGGAAACGACUGUUAAUACCGCAUAAUGUCUACGGACCAAAGUGUGGGACCUUCGGGCCACAUGCUAUCGGAUGCGCCUACGUGGGAUUAGCUAGUUGGUGGGGUAAUGGCUCACCAAGGCGACGAUCCCUAGCUGGUUUGAGAGGAUGAUCAGCCACACUGGAACUGAGACACGGUCCAGACUCCUACGGGAGGCAGCAGUGGGGAAUAUUGGACAAUGGGCGGCAAGCCUGAUCCAGCCAUGCGCGUGUGUGAAGAAGGCCUCGGUU